This is a long non-coding RNA of Aphis gossypii (cotton aphid), 3531 nucleotides long. RefSeq lists it as uncharacterized. NCBI's taxonomy places the organism in Eukaryota, Metazoa, Arthropoda, Insecta, Hemiptera, Aphididae. The transcript has 2 exons. The record is from RefSeq and is a predicted model, not a curated record.
UCGUAUUUUUCCUCCAUGAAAUACGUCUCUUAUCGGAUUUGGUAAAACAAAAUGGGAGGUACGUACGAAGUGACACGCACCAGACUAAACUGUAUAGUUGUAUGUAGUAACCCACGACAGUCUACAACGUCCUUCCACAUUUCACCCCCCCCCCCAACCCAUUGCUACUACAGUUGAAUUACGACAAAGGAAUACAUUUGAUCGAUAUAUUUAUGCGGUUACUCUACGUGUAAGUUGAACUGCCCGCCCAAUACGGAAUACUCGUCAAUUCUACCAAUUGCUUACGGGACAAGUACAAAUGAACUUUGCCGAUCGACGGAGCUUAAAAUCACGGGGUUUAAACAGGUAAGACAAAAAUAUACCUACAUUUAAUUUUCAUAUGUGUUAUUUCAGAAAACCACGUUUUAUCGGACGCGAUUUUCCAAAAAAAGAACACGUUGGAGGUAGAUUUAUUUAUGGGACUUCCUUGAGAUUUCAACUUUAACUGGUAUAAUGUUAUACCCAACGAAAAAUGGUUUAUGAAAAAAUCAAAUUAAACUAACCAACAGUAAUUUCUAUAAGCACUUACUAUUCAAAGAUUUGACCAGGAAAGGUCAAUUAAAUGAAGAGGGCACGAAAUAAAUUGGAUGCAAACAUUUCAUCUGGGACAAAAUAUUUGAAUAAAAGGCUUAAUAUAGAAGCAUACCUAAUAUUAAUAGAAUAAAUGAUAAAUGAAAACUAAUGAGACUUAAAUUUAGCCAAAAAUCUUAUUGCAAAUUAUAUCAAAGUAAUUUGUAGUAGAUGAUUGAGAAUUCAUAAAAUAAUAAAAUAACACUUUUGUCAGUGUUUAAUUCUUUAAACAUUGUUUGGACAAAUAAAAAUAAAAUAUUAUCGCAAUUUAUAAGUAUAAUUUUAUUAUUAUUUUACUUGAUAUUGAUUAUAUACCUAUAUUUACUAUUCCUAAGAUCUGGAAAUUAAAAAUGAUAAUUACACUAAGGUCACAUUAGGUAGAUGUGACCUAAAUUUUCCAUACCAUUUUUAUAUCUUGAUAAUUAUUGUAGAUUCAAAUUACCUAAUAUAAAACUUAAUAUUAAAAAACAAAUCAUAUUCAUCUAAAAUAAUAACAUACAAUUAUUAGUAUAUACAGUAAAACCUCAUUAGUCCGGAUUAAUGAGGUUUUAUAUAUAUAUAUAUUAGUUGUUGUAAAAACAAAAAAUAUUUUUUUUUUAUUUUGCAAAUAUUUAAAUACAUACAAUAUUAUUAAAUAUUCUAAAAAAACAUAGUAUAAUAUCUUUAAUCAUAAACAUUUAUCACACUAUCAAAACAAACAAAAAAAAAAACACUUUUUUAAGGUACCUAAUGCAUUAAUGCAGUAAGAUACAGUAUACAACUAAUUUGCUAAUUUAUGCAAUAAUAACUUAAAAUUAAUUUCAUAUACUAACAUAACUGUUCUAGGAAUUAAAGAUAGGUCGAUUAAAAAAAAUACUAAAUUGAUAAUUUAAAACACUAUUGGUUUUUUAAGUUGCAAAAAAUAUGUAUUUUAGGUUUUAAUGAACAUAUUAUUCAAACAAUUUUUCUUUAUAUUGUGCUCCAUUUUCAAAAGCAAUUAUUAGUUUUUUUCAUUCUUUUUAUAUACUUGUUAGUUUGAGUUAAUAUUAUUCCUUAUUUUAAGUUAUGUUGAUACAUAUUAGAAAGAAAUAUGAAUUCAGGAUUUAAGUUCAGAAUAAUAGUAAAUGAGAUUUUCUUUUUGUCAAAAGGUUUAUAUGAGAAUUAUAAGUUAAUUUUGAUUCAAUAUCAUUUUUUUCUUUUAGGCUCGUUUCUCAUGGGCGCUUAUUGUACGUGCGCGUUUUUAGUUUUUAUUGAUUAAGUUCAUACGCAGCACUUUCGACAAUGGCACAUUUUGCUAGCCGAUAUGGCGAGUUGGACCCAUGUUAACUAAAAACGGUUCUUAGAAUUUUUCUAGAAGUUCUAAUGUUUAUAGAGCCUAUAUUAUAGACUUAUGAAAAAAAUCAAUUUUUAGUUUUGUAUAUUAUUAAAGUUUUUUCUUUUUUGAAAUUUACAUCCAAAGAAUCAUUUAAUUUUGCAAGAUCUUAAAAAUCCUUGUCCUCCAUUUGUUAGUUAAGGAUUUCCUUUAAUUUACUUGUUUAAUAAUUGAUACCUAACAAUAAAUUCUUUUUUGGUUUGAAUUUUCACGAAUAAUGUGUUCAAUUUUAAAUAUGAGUAUUAUUUUGUACAACAGUUGUUUCUUCUUUGUUGACUGUUAUUUCAUUUUAAAUUAAAUUUGUUUUCAUCAUUUGUAUUUAUCUAUACUUCUAAAGCCCAUUUAUUUUUCUUCUAGUUAUAGUUGUAUUGAUCUUCUUAAUAUUUUAAUAUUGUUUUAAAAUUUUGUUUGCAGUGGUUUUUCUAUGUUGUUUGCAAUGGUUUUUCUAUAUUGAUUGCAGGGAUUUGUUCACAAAUCAUUUUUUUCAGGUGCUGGAUGUAUUCAGGUGUUCACACACCAGAAUAAUAAAUCUAAACAAACAAUUGGGUAUUAAUAACAGUUAUUAUUUGGGUUAAUAUUGGUUAAUACGGGCGUUUAAUAGUCUAGAGAAAUCACAAUUUUUUAUUGAUAGCCCUUCCCCCAAAAUAAAUAUUAAUUAAAAAAAAGAUUUAUGGUAUUUAUAAAUGACAAAAUAGAAUUUUCUAACAUGAAUGCACAUUUGUUUUAGACCAAACUCAGUUUACACUUUACUAAUAUUAUUUUAAUUAAUUUAUACAACUUUAUUUUAUCGAGUAGAAUCCUAAUUGUGUAUUCUAUAGAUAUAAAUAUAAAAUAGACAAAAACUGUUACUUAUUAAUUAUUAGUUUUUGGUUAUAACUGUCCAUACAUUAGUCAAUGUCUAUAUCUAUACGUCUAUAUUUUAUAUUGCUGUUGGAUAUAUUUGGAUUUAUUUUAAAUACUAGUAAAAUAAUAAAGUAUAUCAUACUUAUAUUUUAAGAAAUAAUUUAGUAUUAGGCAAUUAGUUUUAAUUAGAAUAAAUUAAUGAUUUUAUUAAAUUUUAUUUUUAAGAAAAUAUUAAUUGAAUUUACUUAUAAUUAAUAAUUAAUUUAUAAUUAUUGUAAAAUGUUAAUAGUAUUUAUUAUUAAACCAUCUAAAAAAUCGAACUAACCACAAAAAAUACAUACAAAGUUAUGUAUCACAUAAAGAUUGUAAAAAAUAAAACAUUCAAAGUUUGAGUUAAUUCGGUUGCAAGGCCCUGGUUGAUUGUGAAAAACUGAGUUGGUUCUUUCUAAGUAAAUAAUACUAAGUAUAAGUUACAUUUAUUACAGUAAUUAUAAAAAUAUUAUAUUAUAGAAUAAAAGUGAAAAGAAGGGUUUUGUAUAAUAGGUAAACAAGUGAUUGAACCAAUAAAAUAUAUUAAUAACUUAACUUAUGUAAAAAAAAAAAUAGUGUGGAUCUUCCAAUAUAAAAAAAAAAUCUAUUUAAUACAUUUAAAUAUUAUGUUGGUAAUUUUUUUAGAUAUUUAUUAUUUAUAAUGAUAAAUUGGUAUUAAAGUCAGUUAUUUAGUAAGA